UUAUCACCAACAGAAAACAGAGUUGCGGGCUAGCCUCACUCAUUCGUUGCCGUUCACAUUUUCGGUCGCGACAACGAUGAACGAGAUGCUGCUAUUGAUGUUGAGGAUUCUGAUUCUGAUUCCAAUUCCAAUUGUGCUCUUUCACUUUUUAGCAAACUGUUCAAAAUUGACGGUUGGGGCUUUCCUUACUUCUGUGUUAACGUUGCCGGUGACGAUGUCUUUCCAGGAGAUUGAUUUGCUAAAGCCUCCAAUCUGAAAUGUCGUGGCGAACUCGAGUUACAACUCCCUCUUGUUGUUCGGUUUCCUGAUGUUUUUAAGGAUCGUCUUGAGUCUAUCCAUGUUACUUUUGACGGUUCACUUCAAUCGCAGAGUUUGGGUUAGAAGCUAGGUCGAAGCUUCUGGUUUCCAGGGGUUUCAAAGACAUUUAAUAUAUUUAUACGGAUUAGAUUGGGAGGAAGCUGGUAUUGAACACUGUUAUUGUUCUUGAGAAAGAGGAAAAGCUUGAUAUGGUGGUUGAGAUCAGCGACAAGCUCUGCAUUUUUCCUGUAAUUGUUGUUCGUGCAAAUUUGAGGACAAAGCAUUCUGGCCAUUUUGGUGCAACUUCUAGUGAUAAAGGAAUAUAAAUUGAAUGUUAUUAAGCGUUAUGAAGAGUUAUAAUAGCUUGGGGAAGGUGGGUCGAUGCCAACAUAAAUCCGUCUAUGGUCUUGUUUAGAUGCUGUUAUAUUACCUGUUUCAGAAGUGAGAACAAGAAAGGAGAAAGAAGUUACUGAAGUUUUGAGGCGUGAACAAUAGCUCACACACUAUUAAGUGGAAACAAUGUAAGUGUGAUUUAAAAGCAAAGUCAUUUUACCCAAGUAAAGCGGAAGUUGAAUUCGCAUCCUUUAUACCAGAUGUCCAGUUGAUCCAGAUCAAUAUCAUGAAUUGGUUUAUUAUUGGUUUUCUGAAGAAGCACAAGUAAGUCAAGUUAAAAAGAGAUUAUGUCAUGCACUGAUGAAGAUGGAAGAGAGUAAAAUUAUUUUGUAUUAGAUUCUAGCUGCUUUGAUAUUGAGAGUAAAAUUAUUAGUAUUGUUUUGUAUCUUGUUCAGGUGAAUAUGAUUUCACGUAUAUAAGGAGAAGAUUCACUUAAGAAUCUUCAUAAUGGUGUGUUUGGACUUUGGAAUAGCCAGUAUGAGCAUUUAUCAAGGUAGGAAGUGCAUUGUCCCAGUGGGUCUAGGAGAUGAUGAUCAGUGCAUAGAAGAUGAUUUUACUAAAUUUGCUGAUGUUUUGAGUUCACCUGAAAAGUAUUCUUUCGAGAUUUGUUGCACCCUUAGUUUCAAACUUUAUUCAUUUAUCUUGCUAAGUUAAGAAAUAUGUGAAUCGGUGUAUAUAUAUUUUAGAUUAAUUACAAUGGUAUA
Long non-coding RNA from Vicia villosa (hairy vetch), 1394 nucleotides. RefSeq lists it as uncharacterized. The transcript is spliced from 5 exons. NCBI's taxonomy places the organism in Eukaryota, Viridiplantae, Streptophyta, Magnoliopsida, Fabales, Fabaceae. The record is from RefSeq and is a predicted model, not a curated record.